GACGAACGCUGGCGGCGUGCUUAACACAUGCCAGUCGAACGGAAAGGCCCUGCUUUUGUGGGGUGCUCGAGUGGCGAACGGGUGAGUAACACGUGAGUAACCUGCCCUUGACUUUGGGAUAACUUCAGGAAACUGGGGCUAAUACCGGAUAGGAGCUCCUGCUGCAUGGUGGGGGUUGGAAAGUUUCGGCGGUUGGGGAUGUACUCGCGGCUUAUCAGCUUGUUGGUGGGGUAGUGGAUUACCAAGGCUUUGACGGGUAGCCGGACUGAGAGGGAGACCGGGCACAGUGGCACACGGGAACGACCAGGAGGCCAACGGGAGCAAGCAGUGAGGGAUAGAGCAAGAUAGGCGGCAGCAGGAUGCAGCAACGCCGCGUGGGAGAUGACGGCCUUCGGGUAGGAAACCGCUUUCGACUAUGACGAAACGUGAGUGAGGGAAAUAGGGAAAGAGGCACCGCCUAACUACGU
RNAcentral lists this ribosomal RNA (467 nucleotides) under uncultured bacterium. RNAcentral describes it as "partial 16S ribosomal RNA". It matches the Rfam family "Bacterial small subunit ribosomal RNA", at positions 28 to 506 of the family's 1533-position model. The record is from RNAcentral.